UAAGCCAUGCAUGUCUAAGUACACGCCGCAUUAAGGUGAAACCGCGAAUGGCUCAUUAAAUCAGUUAUGGUUCCUUGGAUCGUACCCACACUCACGUGGAUAACUGUGGUAAUUCUAGAGCUAAUACAUGCAAACAGAGCCCCGACCGGAGACGGGAAGGGCGCAUUUAUUAGACCAAAACCAAUCGGUCUCCGACCGUUUGCCUUGGUGACUCUGAAUAACGCCGCAGAUCGCACGGCCUCCGCGCCGGCGACGCAUCCUUCAAAUGUCUGCCUUAUCAACUUUCGAUGGUAGGUUCUGCGCCUACCAUGGUUGUAACGGGUAACGGGGAAUCAGGGUUCGAUUCCGGAGAGGGAGCCUGAGAAACGGCUACCACAUCCAAGGAAGGCAGCAGGCGCGCAAAUUACCCACUCCCGGCACGGGGAGGUAGUGACGAAAAAUAACGAUACGGGACUCAUCCGAGGCCCCGUAAUCGGAAUGAGAACACUUUAAAUCCUUUAACGAGUAUCCAUUGAAGGGCAAGUCUGGUGCCAGCAGCCGCGGUAACUCCAGCUUCAAUAGCGUAUAUUAAAGUUGUUGCGGUUAAAAAGCUCGUAGUUGGACUUGUGUCCCGCGCUGUCGGUUCACCGCCCGUCGGUGUUUUAACUGGCAGACCGCGCGGACGUCCUGCCGGCGGGCGCGGUCGGCCGCCUCCGGGCGCGCCGACGGCCCUAAGAAAUCCUGCCGCGGUGCUCUUGACUGAGUGUCGCGGCGGGCCGGCACGUUUACUUUGAACAAAUUAGAGUGCUUAAAGCAGGCAAAGACCGCCUGAAUGCAGUGUGCAUGGAAUAAUGGAAUAGGACCUCGGUUCUAUUUUGUUGGUUUUCGGAGCCCGAGGUAAUGAUUAAUAGGGACAGACGGGGGCAUCCGUAUUGCGACGUUAGAGGUGAAAUUCUUGGAUCGUCGCACGACGAACCUAAGCGAAAGCAUUUGCCAAGAAUGUUUUCAUUAAUCAAGAACGAAAGUUAGAUGACCGAAGGCGAUCAGAUACCGCCCUAGUUCUAACCAUAAACGAUGCCAGCCAGCAAUCCGCCGAUGUUCCUCCGAUGACUCGGCGGGCAGCUUCCGGGAAACCAAAGCUUUUGGGUUCCGGGGGAAGUAUGGUUGCAAAGCUGAAACUUAAAGGAAUUGACGGAAGGGCACCACCAGGAGUGGAGCCUGCGGCUUAACUUGACUCAACACGGGACACCUUACCAGGCCCGGACACCGGAAGGAUUGACAGAUUGAGAGCUCUUUCUUGAUUCGGUGGGUGGUGGUGCAAGGCCGUUUUUAGUUCGUGGGGUGACUUGUCUGGUUAAUUCCGAUAACGAACGAGACACUAGCCUGCUAACUAGUCGUCCCGGUAUCCUUGGCGCUACCGGCGACAAAUAAUCUUCUUAGAGGGACAGGCGGCUCCUAGCCGCACGAGAUUGAGCAAAAACAGGUCUGUGUUGCCCUUAGAUGUUCUGGGCCGCACGCGCGCUACACUGAAGGAAUCAGCGUGUCCUCCCUGCCCGAAAGGGCCGGGUAACCCGUUGAACCUCCUUCGUGCUAGGGCUUGGGGCUUGCAAUUGUUCCCCAUCAACGAGGAAUUCCCAGUAAGCGCGAGUCAUAAGCUCGCGUUGAUUACGUCCCUGCCCUUUGUACACACCGCCCGUCGCUACUACCGAUUGAAUGAUUUAGUGAGGUCUUCGGACCGGUGCGCGGCGGCUCUCCCAGAGAGCCCUCGUCGUCGCCGGAAAGAUGACCGAACUUGAUUAUUUAGAGGAAGUAAAAGUCGUAACAAGGUUUCC
Molecule: ribosomal RNA, 1811 nt
Filed under: Embiidae sp. KBMEB133
Lineage: Eukaryota; Metazoa; Arthropoda; Insecta; Embioptera; Embiidae
Description: SSU rRNA
Rfam family: Eukaryotic small subunit ribosomal RNA
Source: RNAcentral